UGGGGAAUUGUUCACAAUGGGCGAAAGCCUGAUGACGCAACGCCGCGUGGAGGAUGAAGGUCUUCGGAUUGUAAACUCCUGUUGCCCGGGACGAAAAGCUCUGACCUAACACGUCAGAGUCUGACGGUACCGGGUGAGGAAGCCCCGGCUAACUCUGUGCCAGCAGCCGCGGUAAUACAGAGGGGGCAAGCGUUGUUCGGAAUUACUGGGCGUAAAGGGCGCGUAGGCGGCCUUCUAAGUCAGACGUGAAAUCCCCGGGCUCAACCCGGGAACUGCGUCUGAUACUGGAGGGCUUGAAUCCGGGAGAGGGAUGUGGAAUUCCAGGUGUAGCGGUGAAAUGCGUAGAUAUCUGGAGGAACACCGGUGGCGAAGGCGGCAUCCUGGACCGGUAUUGACGCUGAGGCGCGAAAGCCAGGGGAGCAAACGGGAUUAGAUACCCGAUGUAGUCCCUGAGCGGGCUGGCAAGGCGCAU
This 472-nucleotide ribosomal RNA is filed under the name uncultured bacterium. RNAcentral describes it as "bacterial SSU rRNA". It matches the Rfam family "Bacterial small subunit ribosomal RNA", at positions 355 to 825 of the family's 1533-position model. The record is from RNAcentral.